RNAcentral lists this ribosomal RNA (2393 nucleotides) under Euglena mutabilis. RNAcentral describes it as "bacterial SSU rRNA". It matches the Rfam family "Eukaryotic small subunit ribosomal RNA". The record is from RNAcentral. Lineage: Eukaryota; Euglenozoa; Euglenophyceae; Euglenales; Euglenaceae.
AGCCAUAUGCUUCGUUCAAGGACUAAGCCAUGCAAGUGUCAGAGGACACUGUGAAUCGAGAGUUGAUCUGUGAAUGGCUCCUUAGACCAGUUGCCAUCGACGUGAUAGACCGUGUGUGGCACCAGCCUCUCGCCCAAGGCGCUCAGUUGGACAUCCCUCAAAACCUGGUGGCUAAUACACGAUCAAGAGGUCAGCCAAAGGACCUGUGGUGAUGCAACAACCCUCAAAGUCGCUUCGCGUCUCACCCUCAGUGGUAGACUGCAACCAGCUGGUGAUCAAGACCUGUGCUCCGCAACUCGGAGCAGCGUUGACCCCGCGAUGAACCAAGCUGGAUCUCAAUGGCGUAUCGAAACGAAAGGCAAGGGACAGUCAGCUCUGGCGAUUUGAUCUCGGCUGUGGCUCAGGCCUCAGCUGGAUCUACACGACAUGUGUGCUCGUGGUCUCACCGAGGCCUCGUUCACUCAGCUUGAUCAUGCGAACUUCUGACCUAUCAGCUCGAUGGUGAUGCAAUGGAUCACACUGGCCUCGACGGGUAACGGGGAAUGAGGGUCUGAUUCCGGAGAGGGAGCCUUAGAGACGGCUACCACUGUUACGGCGGGCAGCAGGCACGCAAAUUGCCCCAUGAACGAACACCCAUUGAGGCAGCAACGAACUGCAGCAACCGUGCAUGACCUCAUUGGUCGGUACGGCUUGUAAUGGAUGCAACCCAAACACAGUUAUGAGUAGCCACUGGAGAGCAAGUCUGGUGCCAGCAGUCGCGGUAAUUCCAGCUCCGAGUGCGUAUGCUGUCAUUGCUGCUGUUAAAGCGCUCGUAGUCAGACAAUGGGUUGCAGGGACCGUGUAGCCACGCAGGCCCAGUGGGCUCCCAGAUGCCCCGUGCAGAUGGUCCCAUCGGACAACCCAGCAGCUGCACGUGACCCACGUCCCUCGGCAACUAGGACGUCUCUCUGCUUCCCACAGCUCAUUGCUGCUGCAUCGGCUCACCCGUUGGCCCGGUGCACCCAGUCUGGAUGGCAUGAUGUGCUCUUGCUGCAAGCGCCCUUUACUGGACCCUGAGGCGGUGAUGCUCACAACGCUAGUCAUUGGCAACAGUCCGUGUGGAACCACGACCCCGUGUCUGGAAGCCCAGAUCCACACCAGCCAGCCCUCAGAGCCUGCCAUCAUUGUCACUCUGGUGAAAGCAGUGUGCUCCAAGCGUCCAACCGAAGUCCCCCGCUCGACGGGGGACCCUCAGUCAAGGCUGAAUGUGCAACCAGUGAAUGCCAACCACACGACCGCGUGAGGCAAUGCUUGUGCCGGUCUUGAGACCCACGACUUGGGUAGUGUGGCUGGGGGGAACCGGGGACUGGGUCGCUCCUCGCAGAGGACGAGCCUGACGCGUGCUUCCCUGUCCCAGCCACUCGAUCCCGGAUGGGAUGCAGCCUCACGGGGUGAAGGGAACCUUUGUGUCAGAGGUGAAAUUCUUAGACCGCAAUGAGACCACCUGAGGCGAAGGCUCUUCGACCAACUAGCCUGUCUCUCUCGAUCAAGAAUGGCAGUUUGGGGAGCCAAGAUGAUCAGACACCGUCGUAGUCCAGCGCCGUAAACCGUACCAUCCGAGUCCUGCAGCUAUGCGUGCUUCCCAUUGCCCCAGGACUCACACCCCUGACCGAGAGAAAUCCCAAGCGGGUCCAGGGGGGAGUACAGUCGCAAGGCAGAAACUUAAAGGAAUUGACGGAGUGGCACCACAAGGCGUGGAGUAUGCGGCUUAAUUUGACUCAACGCGGGGAAUGUUACUAGGCCAGCACAUGGCAAGGAUGGACAGACUGAGAGCUCUUUCUUGAUCCCGUGGACGGUGGUGCAUGGCCGCUACUGAUUGGUGGAGUGAUUUGUCUGGCUGAUCCCGAUAACGAGUGAGAUCUCUGCUUCUGACUAGGCUCUGGCUCGCAUCUGUAGGGUCGUUCUAGUCCCAGCACCGAUCGGACCCAGGUCGCCCCCGUGGUGCCUGGGAGCCAUCCGCUCGGUUGUCUGGCUGGUUCACCCGAGAGCCAACGAGGAAGUCUUCUCUGAGGUGCUGCUUGACGACCAGAAGGCUGAGCAUGCGAGAGGCAACAGCAGGUCUGUGAUGCUCCCAGAUGUUCUAGGCUGCACGCGCACGACACUGAUUCAGUGAAGGAGUCACCUUGAAGGCAAUGGUUCACCCACUGCCCCGUGGCCUGAAGAGGCUGGGAAACCUUGCAAACCUGAGACGUGAUGGGGAUAGACGAUUGCAACUGUGUCUCUUGAACGAGGAAUGCCUAGUAGGCGCAGGUCAUCAGCCUGGACCGAUUGAGUCCCUGCCAUUUGUACACACCGCCCGUCGUUGCUACCGAUGGCAUUGUGAUAGAAGCCUGUGGAGUGGGUGCCCCCCGUGG